GGCCUUAGCUCAGCUGGGAGAGCGCCUGCUUUGCACGCAGGAGGUCAGGAGUUCGAUCCUCCUAGGCUCCACCA
Molecule: transfer RNA, 74 nt
Filed under: uncultured Gammaproteobacteria bacterium
Lineage: Bacteria; Pseudomonadati; Pseudomonadota; Gammaproteobacteria
Description: tRNA-Ala
Rfam family: tRNA
About the family: Transfer RNA (tRNA) molecules are approximately 80 nucleotides in length. Their secondary structure includes four short double-helical elements and three loops (D, anti-codon, and T loops).
Source: RNAcentral